GAAUUGUUUCUAUUGAGCAAUGCACCCUGGACUGCCUGGGUUAAGUUGGGAGCUAGUCUUUUUACUAAGGAAAGAAACGGUUUAUGUUAGUGAUUAGAGAAAAUCAGUGGAAAUCAUCAAGUUUACGGAUUACUUAAAAGCGUUCAUAUCGUCAAAGUUUCCUAAUCAGAAAACACUUGGAAAUCCAAAAACAGUCGGAGAGGUUGGAAAUGGAAAAAUGGAAUUAAUAAAUUGACGAAAAUGUUGAAAAUGUGUAGCUGGAGAAAGCUGGCCACUAAUAUGGAUCAAAAAAGCUUGCGGAAUCAGGAUAUCGCCUCCGCCAUGUGGAUUUGGAUAGAAUCAAAUUUCGUUAUCAGUAAUUUCGGACGGAAAAAUAAUUUUAAAGGUAGAAAGAUAUAGAUUCAAAUGUACCUGCAAUAAGAUGGAAAUAUUAAGGAGACUUUUCAUGGAAUUUUUUUAUUUACUAAUUCGAAAGGAUAUGAUCUCAAGUUUUUUUUGUGAAAGCAGAAAAAUACACUAUUUGAGAUUGUUCGGCCAUUUA
Hermetia illucens (black soldier fly) is the source of this 541-nucleotide long non-coding RNA. RefSeq lists it as uncharacterized. NCBI's taxonomy places the organism in Eukaryota, Metazoa, Arthropoda, Insecta, Diptera, Stratiomyidae. The transcript is spliced from 2 exons. The record is from RefSeq and is a predicted model, not a curated record.